UGAAUUUCAGGCCUGGCUGGACGGUCCGCCCUUCGGGUGAGUACUCAGUGUGGUCGGGUCCUACCUUCUGGCGAAGCGUCAUGGCCUUAACCGGCCGUGGCGGGGAACCAGGACUUUUACUGUGAAAAAAUUAGAGUGUUCAAAGCAGGAAUCGCUUGGAUACAUUAGCAUGGAAUAAUGGAAUAGGACAAUGGUUCUAUUUGUUGGUUUCUAGGACCGUUGUAAUGAUUAAUAGGGAUAGUUGGGGGCAUUAGUAUUCAAUUGUCAGAGGUGAAAUUCUUGGAUUUAUUGAAGACUAACUACUGCGAAAGCAUUUGCCAAGGAUGUUUUCAUUAAUCAAGAACGAAAGUUAGGGGAUCGAAGACGAUCAGAUACC
Molecule: ribosomal RNA, 376 nt
Filed under: uncultured Paraglomus
Lineage: Eukaryota; Fungi; Glomeromycota; Glomeromycetes; Paraglomerales; Paraglomeraceae
Description: SSU rRNA
Rfam family: Eukaryotic small subunit ribosomal RNA
Source: RNAcentral